This 1005-nucleotide ribosomal RNA is filed under the name Triticum aestivum (bread wheat). RNAcentral's name for it is "partial small subunit ribosomal RNA". The record is from RNAcentral. Lineage: Eukaryota; Viridiplantae; Streptophyta; Magnoliopsida; Poales; Poaceae.
AUGCAUUGCAACCUAAACGUUCAUAUAUAUAGUUUGUGUGUCCAAGCCAGGGAAAUUUCCGAAAAGAUGAAGCAGAAGCUUUGGAACAUAAGGAAAGCAGAGCAGAUGUCUCUUCACAUGAGCUCGUCGUCGUCGUCGAUGUCGCUGAGCGGGUCGUCAAUGGCGUCCGUGUGCGUCAUGCGCGCGGAUGCCUGCUUGACCCACCGCGCCAUCUUGGCCGUCUCCCUGCUGACCUUGACCUGCUCCUCGAGCGCCUUCUUGAGCUUGCGCUGCUGCUCCUUGAGCUCCGUCACCAUCCUCCUGUUCUCGUCGCCCCACUCGCCGGCGUCGAUGCCGAGGACGUCGCCCGGCGCUCCUCCGACGCGGUCCUUCCUGCUCCGCCCCGUAGGGGCCCUCUGCAGGGCCUUCUUGGCCGAGAAGGGGAAGCAGCACGCCUGGCGCGGCGGCGGCGGCGACAGGGAGCCGUCGUCGUCCCUGCACCUGUUCCGCUCCCUCAGCGUCGGCCGGCCGCGCCCUGCCCCGAAGAGCCGCUCCAGGUCCUCCUCCUCCUCGUCGCCAUCUUCUCGGGCCGCGGGGACGCUCGUCUUACGAGGAUCAGCCUGCGGCGGAGGGUGCUGCUCCUUCUGCUCUUGGCUCGCCGGGGCGACCGGUGUGGGCGAGGGAGGGUCCGCGUGCGGUUGCGGGAGCGGGUCGGCAGGAGGAUCGCCGCGGCGCUGCGGCGGCGCGGUGGAGCUGCGGCCCAGGGUCUUGGCGGGCGGCGCGGGGGCGGUGGGGAGGGACUUGAGCUUGCGGAAGCGGGACUCGAGGCUGGACGGGAGCGCCGAGUCGUCGAGGCCGGCGAGGUGCGCCGUGUUGAGCCUGGCGAUCUGCUCCAGCGCGACCAGGUCGGCCGCCUCCGCGAGGAUGGCGUCCACCGCCGACAUCCCGCCGCCGCCAGCUCCCUUGGAGUACGCCAUGGCCGGACCCGGCGGCGCCGCGAGGUGGGGAUCAGGAGUUGAGGACUGA